RNAcentral lists this transfer RNA (75 nucleotides) under Isosphaeraceae bacterium. Its description in RNAcentral is "tRNA-Asn". It matches the Rfam family "tRNA". Rfam says of the family: Transfer RNA (tRNA) molecules are approximately 80 nucleotides in length. Their secondary structure includes four short double-helical elements and three loops (D, anti-codon, and T loops). Lineage: Bacteria; Pseudomonadati; Planctomycetota; Planctomycetia; Isosphaerales; Isosphaeraceae. The record is from RNAcentral.
UCCGGUGGAGUUCGUGCUGGAACGAGCGCCCGGCUGUUAACCGGGAGGUCGCAGGUUCGAUUCCUGCCGCCGGAG